Molecule: long non-coding RNA, 204 nt
Filed under: Mytilus galloprovincialis (Mediterranean mussel)
Lineage: Eukaryota; Metazoa; Mollusca; Bivalvia; Mytilida; Mytilidae
Source: RNAcentral
CGUGCAAGAUGGCUAUCAUAGUACUAAAAACCCUUUAAGGGGGCCUUCAAAUACAUUUUAAUUUUGUUUUUUAGCUUAUUCAUACUUUUCUUAAGCCUAAUGACAUUGUCAAAUUAACUGUUUUGUGUAAAAUUGUGGACAAAAAUGCUCUUUGAAAAUUUCAAUUUGGGAGCCUCCAUGGGGGAAACCCCACGCAAAUAGUGA